Saccostrea echinata is the source of this 291-nucleotide long non-coding RNA. RefSeq lists it as uncharacterized. Lineage: Eukaryota; Metazoa; Mollusca; Bivalvia; Ostreida; Ostreidae. The record is from RefSeq and is a predicted model, not a curated record. The transcript is spliced from 3 exons.
AAAAGUCAAAGAAUGUAUACAUGUGAGAUUCUGAAGUAGCCGUACAUGAUGAGUAGGAAUUUGAAGUGAAUUAUGGGAAAAGUGAAAUGGUAAAAAAGAAACUGCUAGCGCUACUGUGCAGACUACCAUCAAUCAACAUGAUCAACAAAAUCAAGUAAUCCUUCUGAGUGGAGACACAUAUGAAGUUACCUACAGUUACAGCCAAGGUUUAAUGAAGAAUCAUCUGGAGUCUGGCAGUGAGAGUGACAGUCGGCAGUGGAUACUCACUCCUCUAAGGCACCUGAUCCCACC